CCUACGGGAGGCAGCAGUGAGGAAUAUUGGUCAAUGGGCGCGAGCCUGAACCAGCCAAGUCGCGUGAGGGAUGACGGUCCUACGGAUUGUAAACCUCUUUUGCCGGGGAGCAAGCGUGCGUUCGUGAACGCGCGUCGAGAGUACCCGGAGAAAAAGCAUCGGCUAACUCCGUGCCAGCAGCCGCGGUAAUACGGAGGAUGCGAGCGUUAUCCGGAUUUAUUGGGUUUAAAGGGUGCGCAGGCGGGAGAUCAAGUCAGCGGUAAAAUGUCGGGGCUCAACCCCGGCCGGCCGUUGAAACUGGUUUUCUAGAGUUGGAGAGAAGUAUGCGGAAUUCGUGGUGUAGCGGUGAAAUGCAUAGAUAUCACGAAGAACUCCGAUUGCGAAGGCAGCAUACCGGCUCCAUACUGACGCUGAGGCACGAAAGCGUGGGGAUCGAACAGGAUUAGAUACCCUAGUAGUC
This 460-nucleotide ribosomal RNA is filed under the name uncultured bacterium. Its description in RNAcentral is "partial 16S ribosomal RNA". It matches the Rfam family "Bacterial small subunit ribosomal RNA", at positions 338 to 795 of the family's 1533-position model. The record is from RNAcentral.